This 795-nucleotide ribosomal RNA is filed under the name uncultured euryarchaeote. RNAcentral's name for it is "bacterial SSU rRNA". It matches the Rfam family "Archaeal small subunit ribosomal RNA", at positions 28 to 818 of the family's 1478-position model. Lineage: Archaea; Methanobacteriati; Methanobacteriota. The record is from RNAcentral.
UGCCAUAGAGUCGAUUAGCCAUGUUAGUCGAGGGUGCUUCUUCUUCGGAAGAAGUAACCCGGCGGACGGCUCAGUAACACGUGGAUAACUUGCCCUUGGGUCUGGGAUAACCCCUGAGAAAUUGGGGACAAUACCGGAUAGGGCAUCGAUAGCUGGAAUGCGCGAUGUCCAAAAGCUGAGGCGCCCAAGGAUAGGUCUGCGGCCGAUUAGGUUGUUGUUGAUGUAAUGGAUCAACAAGCCUGCAAUCGGUACGGGUUGUGAGAGCAAGAGCCCGGAGAUGGGUUCUGAGAAAAGAACCCAGGUCCUACGGGACGCAUCAGGCGCGAAAACUUUACAAUGUGCGAAAGCACGAUAAGGGAACUCUGAGUGCCUCCUAUGGAGGCUGUUCAGGUGUCUAAAAAGCACUUGAAGUAAGGGCUGGGUAAGACCGGUGCCAGCCGCCGCGGUAACACCGGCAGCCCAAGUGGUAGCCACGAUUAUUGGGUCUAAAGCGUCCGUAGCCGGCCAGGUAAGUUCUUUGGGAAAUUUAACCGCUCAACGGUUAAGCUUUCAGGGAAUACUGCUUGGCUUGGGACCGGGAGAGGUCAGAGGUACUUCAAGGGUAGGGGUGAAAUCCGUUAAUCCUUGAGGGACCACCAGUAGCGAAGGCGUCUGACCAGACCGGGUCCGACGGUGAGGGACGAAGGCUAGGGUCGCGAACCGGAAUUAGAUACCCGGGUAGUCCUAGCUGUAANCGAUGCGGGCCAGGUGUUGGCAUUACUGCGAGUGAUGUCAGUGCCCAANGGAAGCCGUUAA